Molecule: small RNA, 648 nt
Filed under: Arabidopsis thaliana (thale cress)
Lineage: Eukaryota; Viridiplantae; Streptophyta; Magnoliopsida; Brassicales; Brassicaceae
Description: ATSL044190
Source: RNAcentral
AAAGUUUCAAUUUUUUAAAAUAAAAAAUCGAGUAAAAUCGGAUAACUAUUUUAAUUUUAGACGCCUGAUAAAUCAAGCUUUCUACUCAUUCGAAAUCAGAAUCAUUUUGGUCCUUUUAUAAUAUGGGUCUGAAGCAUUGUCCAAUUUUUCUAAGCGAUGUGCGACAUUGUACACAUAUUAUUUCUUCAUAGGUUGAAUAAUAUAUGUCCGUUUUAAAAAAAUUUGAAUUACAUUAUAUUCAGAAAAAAUAUAAUAUUUUAUUAACUAUAUAUAUUUUAUAUAAAUUCAAAAUAAAUAAAGUAUAAGAUCAAAUAAAAAUGAAAGAAGAAUUAUAUAUUUAUGUUUAAAUUAGGUAGAAAUAUUUUAGGAAAGUAGUUAAGGUAAAUAAGAAAUAUUGUUAGUUUAGAGAUAUUGUUUAUAUUAAAUUUGGUAAUUAAAUCAUUAAUUUUCGUUUUUAAUUAUUAGUUUUUAGGUAACUUUUCCAAAAAUUAAUGUUAUCCAAGAUCAGAAUAGAAUUAAACAUGUUAUCCAGGAUCCGAACAGAGUUAAACCGGGUAAAACCCACCCAGUUGAAUUAAUUGUUGAAUUAUGGCUCAAAUCUUCAACAUUAUCUUCAAAAAUCCCCUCCAAAAAUGUAUAUAUAGAUUA